UAGUCAUAUGCUUGUCCCAAAGAUUAAGCCAUGCAUGUCUAAGUAUAAACAAGUUUAUCCGGUGAAACUGCGAAUGGCUCAUUAAAUCGGUUAUAAUUUACUUGAUGAUCACUUUAUCAUUGGAUAUCCGUGGUAAUUCUAGAGCUAAUACAUGAGCAAAGCCCGACUCGCGAAGGGCUGCAUUUAUUAGAUAUCAAGCUGAUGCAGCCGCAGGGCUGCUUGGUGAUUCAUAAUAACUUUGCGGAUCGUAUGGCCUUGAGCCGACGACGUUUCAAUCAAAUUUCUGCCCUAUUAAAUAGUAGGCACUGUAGUGGACUGCCUAGUUGAUUAUGGGUAACGGGCUAUCAGGGUAGGAAGCCGGAGAGGGGGCCUGAGAAAUGGCCACCACAUCCAAGGAAGGCAGCAGGCGCGCAAAUUGCCCAAUGACGACACGUCGAGGCAGUGACAGAAUGUAACGAACCUGGAGAUUUUUCUCUGGGUAUUGGAAUGAGUACAAUUUAAAUCCCUUAACGAGGAACGAUU
This 522-nucleotide ribosomal RNA is filed under the name uncultured eukaryote. RNAcentral's name for it is "bacterial SSU rRNA". It matches the Rfam family "Eukaryotic small subunit ribosomal RNA", at positions 21 to 549 of the family's 1831-position model. The record is from RNAcentral.